UUUCUAAUGCAAUUACGUGCAACACCCCUUGUGAGCGGGAAAUAAACCAACGUGGAUACACACGGAAUGCAGAAGCAUCAAUGGAAGUGGGAGGCAUAUCAAGACGGAAAGGAUUAAACACAGCCACCAAAUUCCUAGCAGCAAUCACUAUAUCAUACUUCCAAAACAACUCCCCGUUGCACGAAAUUACAGUUCUUGAUCCAGGUGUUCGAACACGAGAAAUACAGACAAGAGCUUCCUUGGUCCAUUGUCCAGACUCGGA
This 262-nucleotide long non-coding RNA is filed under the name Linum usitatissimum (flax). Its description in RNAcentral is "long non-coding RNA (LUSI_LNC000664)". The record is from RNAcentral. Lineage: Eukaryota; Viridiplantae; Streptophyta; Magnoliopsida; Malpighiales; Linaceae.